Notolabrus celidotus (New Zealand spotty) is the source of this 315-nucleotide long non-coding RNA. RefSeq lists it as uncharacterized. The transcript is spliced from 3 exons. NCBI's taxonomy places the organism in Eukaryota, Metazoa, Chordata, Actinopteri, Labriformes, Labridae. The record is from RefSeq and is a predicted model, not a curated record.
UUUUUUAGAAAAUCAGCAUCGGCUUCAUUUCCCAAGACCAGAGGUUACCAGUUUGGAAGUAACCACUGCGGUAGACUAGAAAACCCAGGAGUAAACCUGAAGGCUGAACAGAUGAAGGAGUCUCAUAGGGUGUAUCAGUAAAAUCCAGGUCUGUGUAAUCAGAGAGAAAGACGUCAGUAGUGAUGUUCACUACUUCAGUUGAGACUUGGGGCUGCUGCAUAUCAUACUGAUGUCUUUGGGGUCUUUGAAGUUUUUGAGCCAUCCCAUGAGCGGGCAGAUGCUGGGGCUGCAGUCCCAGGAGUUCCCUGCCAGACU